CGUAGGUCCCGAGCGUUAUCCGGAUUUAUUGGGGCGUAAAGCGAGCGCAGGCGGUUAGAUAAGUCUGAAGUUAAAGGCUGUGGCUUAACCAUAGUACGCUUUGGAAACUGUUUAACUUGAGUGCAGAAGGGGGAGAGUGGAAUUCCAUGUGUAGCGGUGAAAAUGCGUAGAUAUAUGGAGGAACACCGGUGGCGAAAAGCGGCUCUCUGGGUCUGUAAACUGACGCUGAGGCUCGAAAAGCGUGGGGAGCAAACAGGAUU
RNAcentral lists this ribosomal RNA (260 nucleotides) under uncultured bacterium. RNAcentral describes it as "partial 16S ribosomal RNA". It matches the Rfam family "Bacterial small subunit ribosomal RNA", at positions 526 to 779 of the family's 1533-position model. The record is from RNAcentral.